CUACCGGCCUUAGCGGAUGAACAUAGCAGCGCUGGCGAUGCGUGGAGGAGAUGAGGACGAACAUGGGACGGAAUUGUGUGUGUUUCCUGAGUUCGCAGCUGCAGUGCAGACAAGACAUGAAGAUGCAAAGGUUCCUCACAUGAUGUAAAAUUAACACAUCAUUGAAAAGAUUAUGUACAUGAUGUAGCCACAUGAUGUGCCUUUCUGAUUCAUUAUACCCAAUGAGUGCAGAACAUCUUCCUCUGGACUCGAAAGUGCACUUAGAAGCAACUGUGGCCUGUCACAACAAAGGAGAAAGACAUUUGGGAAGAAACCGAAUCCAAGUUUACAUGAUACAGUAGUGUCACUUCCUACAUGAGGGUUUAGCCUCAUUGGAACCAUAACACUAUGGGGCAGAAGUACAGGAUUUCUGUUUCUCCUCUACCACCCAAAGGGGAAGGUUGAAAAUAAGGAUUUGGAAGACUGCAAGCUGUUUAUCCAGUAUCUAAGAUCUCCCUGGUGUAACCAUAUGAAUGGCUACAUUUCAGCAAUAGAAGAUUUUUAUUACAGGUGCUGUUUUUAAGCAGAAGAGUCUAGAAAUGCAGUAAUCUCAGCGGUUUUCCUGUUUGUGCAUAUCAAAAAUAAAGCAACCUAUUAGAAAUGA
Molecule: long non-coding RNA, 643 nt
Organism: Elgaria multicarinata webbii
Lineage: Eukaryota; Metazoa; Chordata; Lepidosauria; Squamata; Anguidae
Exons: 7
Source: RefSeq, a predicted model, not a curated record